GUUCAAAUUUAGAACGUCCUUCUAAAAAGAAAACUGAUUCUUAAACCUCUUUCACGCUCAUGUCACGUCAAGGUACUGUAGAAGAAAAAACUGCAAAAUCCGAUCCAAUUUAUCGUAAUCGAUUAGUUAACAAGUUGGCUAACCGUAUUCUGAAACAUGGAAAAAAAUCAUUGGCUUAUCAAAUUAUCUAUUGAGCAGUGAAAAAGAUUCAAUGAAAGACAGAAACUAUCUACGAUCUGUUUUACGUCAAGCAAUACGUGGAGUAACUCCCGAUAUAGCAGUAAAAGCAAGACGUGUAGGCAGAUCGACUCAUCAAGUUCCCAUUGAAAUAGGGUCUACACAAGGAAAAGCACUUGCCAUUCAUU
Long non-coding RNA from Telopea speciosissima, 365 nucleotides. RefSeq lists it as uncharacterized. NCBI's taxonomy places the organism in Eukaryota, Viridiplantae, Streptophyta, Magnoliopsida, Proteales, Proteaceae. The record is from RefSeq and is a predicted model, not a curated record. The transcript is spliced from 3 exons.